Molecule: ribosomal RNA, 253 nt
Filed under: uncultured bacterium
Lineage: Bacteria
Description: partial 16S ribosomal RNA
Rfam family: Bacterial small subunit ribosomal RNA
Source: RNAcentral
GACAGAGGUGCCAAGCGUUAGGCGGAAUCACUGGGCUUAAAGCGUGUGUAGGCGGAUCGUUAAGUACCUUGUGAAAUCCCCCGGCUCAACCGGGGAACUGCUGGGUAUACUGGCGAUCUUGGGCCACUCAGGGGCAGAUGGAACAGACGGUGGAGCGGUGAAAUGCGUAGAUAUCGUCUGGAGCGCCAAAGGUGAAAACAGUCUGCUGGGGGUGUGCCGACGCUGAGACACGAAAGCCAGGGGAGCGAACGGG